This 508-nucleotide unclassified non-coding RNA is filed under the name Microdochium nivale. Its description in RNAcentral is "sequence contains 18S rRNA gene, ITS1, 5.8S rRNA gene, ITS2, 28S rRNA gene". The stretch from base 155 to 300 matches the Rfam family "5.8S ribosomal RNA". The record is from RNAcentral. Lineage: Eukaryota; Fungi; Ascomycota; Sordariomycetes; Xylariales; Microdochiaceae.
AGGGAUCAUUACUGAGUUUUCAACUCUCCAAACCAUGUGAACUUACCACUGUUGCCUCGGUGGUUAGUGCUCUCCCGUCAGGGUGGGUGCUGCCGCCGGCGGACUACUAAACUCUUGUUAAUUUUUGUCUGAAUCAAAUCAAGAAAUAAGUUAAAACUUUCAACAACGGAUCUCUUGGUUCUGCGAUGAAGAACGCAGCGAAAUGCGAUAAGUAAUGUGAAUUGCAGAAUUCAGUGAAUCAUCGAAUCUUUGAACGCACAUUGCGCCCAUUAGUAUUCUAGUGGGCCUGUUCGAGCGUCAUUUCAACCCUUAAGCCUAGCUUAGUGUUGGGAGACUGCGCUAAACCGCAGCUCCUCAAAACCAGUGGCGGAGUCCUCUCGUGCUCUGAGCGUAGUAAUUCUUUAUCUCGCUUCUGCAAGUACGGUUGACGACAGCCAUAAACCGCACCCUUCGGGGGCACUUUUUAAUGGUUGACCUCGGAUCAGGUAGGAAUACCCGCUGAACUUAA